This is an RNA transcript of Mus musculus (house mouse), 7952 nucleotides long. It is a transcript of the gene named mitogen-activated protein kinase kinase kinase 20, with no coding region annotated. Lineage: Eukaryota; Metazoa; Chordata; Mammalia; Rodentia; Muridae. The record is from RefSeq and is marked validated. The transcript has 12 exons.
CGACCCCGAGCCCCGGCCUCCCUGCUGGGCACCGAGCCGGGCGUGCCCGGAGGCUGGCCGGCCGGCGGUUCCACGCUCGGAGGUAGGUGGUGCUGUUGCCGCGACGUCUUCCUCAUUGGCGCCGCGCGGAGAGGCGGAAUGUUCAACUCCUGACUCCGGCGGAAGCGUGGGAGCCGCGCGGGCCGCCGUCCCCGACCCCCGCCGCCGCUCGCGCCCGAUCCGGGAGCCAGAUUUUGUGGACGUUUACUACUUUGUCAUUAUGAGAUGUCGUCUCUCGGAGCCUCCUUUGUGCAAAUUAAGUUCGACGACUUGCAGUUUUUUGAAAACUGCGGUGGAGGAAGUUUUGGGAGUGUGUAUCGAGCCAAAUGGAUAUCACAGGACAAGGAGGUGGCUGUAAAGAAGUUACUCAAAAUAGAGAAAGAGGCAGAAAUCCUGAGCGUCCUCAGUCACAGAAACAUCAUCCAGUUUUAUGGAGUGAUUCUGGAACCUCCCAACUAUGGCAUCGUCACAGAAUAUGCUUCCCUGGGCUCCCUGUAUGAUUACAUUAACAGCAACAGGAGUGAAGAGAUGGACAUGGAACACAUCAUGACCUGGGCCACUGACGUAGCCAAAGGGAUGCAUUACUUACACAUGGAAGCUCCUGUCAAGGUGAUCCACAGAGACCUCAAGUCAAGAAACGUUGUUAUCGCUGCUGACGGAGUGCUGAAGAUCUGUGACUUCGGUGCCUCGCGGUUCCAUAACCACACAACACACAUGUCCUUGGUUGGAACUUUCCCAUGGAUGGCUCCAGAAGUUAUCCAGAGUCUCCCUGUGUCUGAAACCUGUGACACGUAUUCCUAUGGUGUGGUUCUCUGGGAGAUGCUAACAAGGGAGGUCCCCUUUAAAGGUUUGGAAGGAUUACAAGUAGCUUGGCUUGUAGUGGAAAAAAACGAGAGAUUAACCAUUCCAAGCAGCUGCCCCAGAAGCUUUGCUGAACUGCUACACCAGUGUUGGGAGGCUGAUGCCAAGAAACGGCCAUCGUUCAAGCAAAUCAUUUCAAUCCUGGAGUCUAUGUCAAAUGACACGAACCUUCCUGACCAGUGUAACUCAUUUUUACACAACAAGGCGGAGUGGAGGUGGGUAGCUCCGGCAUGAGUCCCGGCCCAAGGCUGAGGAGAACCAGACACCCGAUGGACAGUCCUGAUGACUAAGCACAGCUUGGGGGCGCGGGGGAUGGGACAGCAAGCCCAAGAGUUAUAACCCCGCAUUCAUAUGUGAGAGUUUGCCUAUGCUUGUUGUCGUCUAUGGUCGAAGUGUCUGGGGGAGAGUACUGAAGUCAAAGCCAUUUCCAGACCCUUCUCUGUACACAUUCUGUGUUGAGAAGCUUUGGUCUCUUUCCAGAAAAAAAAUAUCUUUUUGAAAUAUAUAUAUAUAUAUAUGCAUAGUGUUAGCCUUGCCAUGUGUAGAACACUGUAUCUGCUAGCGCAUGGCAUGGGGAAACCUAUAAAACAUGUUAGACAUUAUAAACUCCAGCGAAACAAAUGAGUAAAGAGAGAAUCGGAUUGUGUGAGUGGAAAAACAACCCAAGAUGAAACAGUUGGACCAGGUCGAAUGACGCAGGGAAUAUAAAUAGCAUGUUUGGGAGCUGGACACUGUUCCUCCCCUGACUCAGCGGAGAUUUGAAGUAACUUCAUCCUUGCUCCGAUAUCCAUGGCAGGAACGUGAUGCCCUACGCCAUCUGCUGGUGAUAAGGCAGUACUGCAUGCACUGGCUCUUGCCACCUGUCAGUACACUUGACUGAGGGCCUUCUAGUUGACUGAUAUUUUUACUGUGACCUUAUUUAUUUAUUUUCAUUCCUUUGAAACAGCUUUCUCGGGCCAUUAACUUUCAUGAUUUUUUUCUUAGAAAUAUAAAAUUAAUGCAGUGAGCUCCCAUCUAGAUCGGAGGGCUUUUUUUUUUUUCUGGUCUAAAAUAACUUAACAAAAGCUUGGUAUGACAUUGUUUCCCACAGUAACAUGUAAUCAGACCACUUCCCCUCAAGCUCCAUAUGUGUGCCUCAUUGCUCUUCAGACAAAGGCAGAAAUACGUAUGAUUUGGAAGACCCACCAUCCAGCCUUGUCUUGAGCAUGCCCUAAGCUUUCAAUCCCUCCACAGAGGCCCAGGUCUCCCUCACCAGAGCCUCUCAGUGCAGUCUCCUUUUUAUAGACACCCUGUUUCAGUUGCACAUUCCUCCUGUCCCUCCUCCCCCCCAGCUCCCAUUAGCCGCCCGGGCAGCUGGUGACCUUGCAUUUCUGCAAGGGAGCAACCCACACUCACUGGCCAGGUGUGAAAUUGAGGCAACCCUUGAGCGACUGAAGAAACUAGAGCGAGAUCUCAGCUUUAAAGAGCAGGAGCUCAAAGAACGGGAGAGACGUCUCAAGAUGUGGGAGCAGAAGCUGACGGAGCAAUCCAACACCCCGCUUCUCUUGCCUCUCUCUGCAAGAAUGUCUGAGGAGUCUUACUUUGAAUCUAAAACAGAGGAGUCAAACAGUGCAGAGAUGUCAUGCCAGAUCACUGCAGCAAGUAACGGGGAGGGCCAUGGCAUGAACCCAGGCCUGCAGGCCAUGAUGCUCAUGGGCUUUGGGGAUGUCUUCUCAAUGAACAAAGCAGGAGCUGUGCUGCAUUCUGGGAUGCAGAUAAACAUGCAAGCCAAGCAGAAUUCAUCCAAAACCACAUGUAAGAGGAGAGGGAAGAAAGUCAACAUGGCCCUGGGGUUCAGUGACUUUGACCUGUCAGAAGGUGACGAUGAUGACCAUGAUGGUGACGAUGCUGAGAAUGAUGUGGAUAAUAGUGAAUGACACCAGAAAGGAAUAAGCGUGAAAAUGCUUUAUUUCGUUUUUUUGUUUUGUUUUGUUUUGUUUUUUUAGAAGAACAGAAGAAAUGUGUUAUCUCAGUCUAUGCCAAAGAGCAGCAUAGGGAGGCAGAGCCCCCAGCACUGCGCCUGCGCCUGCGCCUGCGCCUGCGCCUGCGCCUGCGCCUUAGGCCAAGCUCGUUUAGGGCGUUUCCCUCAUCAGUGUGACUUUGCUUUUGCGCUCAGAAAAGGGCAGGGAAAUAAGCUAAAGGCAUAUUUAUCAGCGAGUGUGGUGCCUGGUUAUAGAAAUACGUGAUUACACACAUAUCAUGUUCUAGAGCUAGUGACAUUUGGGCUUUUUCUUUUUAAAGCGCAUGCUCUGUAGUUUGUAUCUGGCUGUACUUAACCCUUUCACUCAGUUGGUUAAGAAAUGUCCAUUUCGAGCAAGCACUCUGCUCCCGACUCCACUCUGACACUUGAUCCUUCCCCAGCAUACCAAGGUCCCUUCCUUGUACAGCACAUUCUAAUGACAGAGGUGAUUGGCAACUAUAAAAUCCAGGAAAACAAAACAAAACGAAAACCUGAGGUGAAAUGAAAGAAGAGUAUAACAAAAUACCUCUUCAGAAAUACCUAAAUGCCAGGAAUCUUCAAUGCCAGAGAGCACACAGCUCCUCGAAUUAAAGCCCGAGUGGUGUUCUCAGUAGUUCCAUUUGAAGGAGAAACACUCUGGUUUGAAGUGGGCUGCAGACAACAUUACACGCCUGCAUCCCCGUGCUGGCCGGAAGCAUCCUAACAAGAGCACACUGUUCACCCUAGGCUUAGCUUGUCCCUUACACAGAAGCACAUGGUCCCAAAGGGACGUGUCUAGUCAUGAAACAGGAUGAGCACAAGCCUGCUCUUUACAUGCAAUAACAACACUCUGUUUCUUUGUUUUCCAGAGGUGCAUAAUAACACUACUAGAUUUUAAUCUAUGUAUAAGAAAAAAACCACUCUAAAUAGGAAAGAUAAAUUAUCCUUCUUAGACACAAGUGCAUCCUGAAGGGGUCUUUUUGUUGCGUGUAGCCUCCCGGAACACACCCAGUUUCUUUUCUUUUUACUGUCCUCUGUUAUGCUGGUUAGAGAAAUAGAUUCAGGUAACACUUAGUGUGAAGGCCAGGCUUCCCAGAGACACUCUAAGAAGGCUAGCACUAGCAGCCAAAAUGUAUUUAAACUAUAAACGCAUAUAAAAUUACUAGAUAAAGUUAAAACAAAAGUUUUUAUCAAUCUAACUCAGAAAUUGGUAUCAUUCAUUUGACAAUGUAAGUUAAAUAUUUUUGGUGGGCUUUUUUUAUAUAGAAGCUGUAACAUGAGGUGGGCAUGGUAGCUCACGUUCAUAGUCCUGGCCCUCAGAGGCUGAGGCAGGACAGUAGUGGGUUUAGUAUUAGCUAAGUCGCAAGACUAUGUAUGAGCAACGUUGCAAGACUCUAUCUCACGAAAGGACUAGGUAUAGCUACUAUUGUUUCUAAGUAUGUUUGGUCAUGAAGUCUUCUGGAAUUUGAGAUAGGACAGGCCUUUAAUCCUCGGUGAGGAUUGAGGGGUAGCAUCAAAGAUGGGAAGCAUGCACUACAACUUUAUCUGGAAAGAAAUAACUAGUGGGCUCUUCUGGGUAUCUGUUCCCUGUGCAGUCUCAGGUAGACUAUGUAAUCUCUGAGCCUGUUUACCCUUUGUUACCAUGACAGUACAUAACAAGAAAAAGGUUCAGAAGGAAAGUAUGUAACCACGUAGCCUAGCCCCAGGCCAUGCCAGGGGCCAGGUGACACCAGCUAUGGCUAAUUGCCAAGUAAAGGAGACACUGAGAAGUAAGUGGGUUCUAUAACCUUCUGGACCACUACACUAUCUAUUGCAAGUGACACUGGCUCAGAAGUAUGAAGUUAAAAGUAGAUAGCUUUCAUGAAAAGUAAAGAGAGCAAAAAUGAGGAAUGUAAAAUGCACAAAGAGUUUAAUUCAGUUGCUUUUGGAAGCUUUGUGUCAUGCCAGAUCCACAUGUGCUGGGUGUUUACAGACAGGUAAAGGCUGCCUAAGAAGUCAGGGUUCCCCCUCACCCCCAUCCUGCUGGAAUCCUCUGCACAUGUGUACUCUAGACAUGCAGCCAGGCUGCUCAAACAGAAAAUCUUGAAGGGAGCAGAAGGCAUGCCUAGCGACUCUUCAUUUUCCAGCGUGCUGUGAGCAUGCGAAGGACACAGUGGGAGUCAGUGGGUUCAGGAGCCUCCUGCACAACUGCCCAGGCCAGAAGAAAGCCUCCUGUUCAACAAGCCUUUGCUGGGACCCAGUGUGAACCAAAUUCUAGAGAACAGCUAGGUGAAAACCUUUCCACUCCUAGAGCAUGCACGCUACUGAGCAUCACAGAAUGGCAGGAUUCACUACGUGUGUGCUGGAAAUUGAGCAAGGAAGGAAGAUGGGGCUAGAGGAAGGAGUCUUGAAAGCAUGCUCAGGAAAGACCCUCUGUUGCAUGACGAUGCUACAGAGCCUGAGAAGGUAAAGGGACCUCUGAGAGUGGUGAGUUCUGCCCUAUAUGUAAGAACAUAAACCUCACCACCCACUAAUCAAGAGUUGGUUCAGAACUCAUAUAGAGCAUGGAAAUAAUGUAUUUCCUAAAUUAAUAUCUAACUCAUAUUCUAUAUAAAAAUUGUAGUGCCAGUAAGGGAAAGUUACUGGGCUCUAUACCCAGCCUAGGUUGAGCACCACCCCAGCACAUCCCUCCCAUCUCCUAACUGCUGCCUUCUUCUCUACCAACAUUGCAGUCAUGUUCACAACUCAGUACUGUCAUGAAGAAAUCACAGGUCUUAGCACAGAGCACAGUGAGCCCCAGGGAAGAGCUUCCAACCGCUCUGUCUAGAACCACGGAAUACGCCACUGGGCGCUUUACUUCUGCUCAAAUCAAGUGUUCGUCUAGUGGCAUUAAAAUGUGCAAACAUACCUGAAACCUGACUCAUAUAAACAGGACCCAUAGAAUUCUCACACCUUCUGUAAAAAAAAAUACUACAAAGCUUUAGUUAAUUUUAUAAGAGAUGCCUAUUCGCUACAUGAAGAAUUUCUAAUGAUGCUAGUGUAGACGGUCUAAUUCACUUCUCAGAUCAGUUUUUGAAAUGGCCAAUUAUCAGUGUUAGAUUUUGUUUCAGUGUCCUGACUUGCAAAAGAACACAAUUCAGAAGUUAAAGAAAUCCUGAAACAUGUAAAGUUCAGAAUGAGAAUUAGAGCUACAGGUUGUGGUGAUGAAUGUCAGUCGGACACCCUAAAACAUUUCCCUCUUCACUUGUAAAGCUAACGUGUAGAAUUUGAGGACAUCUAUAGUGGUACUCAGCUGAGAGGUAAUGCAGCCUUGGCCAGCCAGCAUUUACUGUAGACUGGUGGCAUCCUGUUUGCCAGGGACAGACAUACACACACACACACACACACACACACACACACACCGAGAGGUUUCCAUCCUCGAUCUCCACAGCAUUGUCCUGUCCCCACGGUGGUGAAGCUCCUUAAACCUGACACAUCUCCUGGUCCAUCUCUACAUUUUCCCCCCAAAACAAAAUCACCCACACCUUUUCAGAACAAUAGCGACACUUUCUGCGUGUCAGGAAGCUGUAGCUUUUCCUCAAACCACUGUCUGUGAAAAUGAUUUCUCCCCCCCGCCCCCAAGGUUGCUAGUCGGAACACUAUGACAGGAUUGCAUUACGGUAACCCCAACACAGUACAGCCCUGGCAGACUUGCUGUCAUUCUGCAGUCAUUUAAAGGGAAUUUUUCCUAACUUUUUUUUUAAGCAAAAUUACAUUUGAAUGUUUCACAAAUAGCCAGUGGGAUAAGGUCAGAGACACCUGGCACACUGCUUUUGAUGCUCUGAAAAUACUGAAGACUGUUUGUGGUUUUUAACCAGUGAACUUUUUUUUUUUUUUAACAUGCAGUGAAUUUGUUAGGCUUUGAACACCAGCUGAGGUAGUCACACUUGGCCCCCAUUGAAAUCAAAGGGACUAGGGGAGGGGUGGCGUCUAGGAGAGACUCAGACCCAUUUCCCUGCCAGUUCCCAUGCGUGUAUUUAACUUUAGUUUUCUUUUUUCCUUUUUUUUCUUUUUUUGUUUUUUUUUUUCUUUUGUUUUGUUUUUUCAAGACAGGGUUUCUCUGUGUAGCCCUGGCUGUCCUGGAACUCACUCUGUAGACCAGGCUGGCCUCGAACUCAGAGAUCUGUGUGCCCCUGCUUCCCAAGUGCUGGGAUUAAAUGUGUGCGCCACCACUGCCUGGCUUUUUAAAUUUUUUUUUUUAAUACUUUAGUUUUCAUCAGUGUGCCAAUAACUUUAUGAAAGAUGGUCUUUAAACCUAGUCUGAGUUAAAUACCAACACUUUAAAAACGAUUUUUGUCACACUAGACUUGGGCAGCCUUGUGAGACUAGUUGAGGUUCACUGUACCACAGCACACGGUGAGGCGUAAUUCUUUCUAUAAUCAGGCACCUUCCGCUGCUUCCGAGUAAGGUCGUUUUCCUGUGUAGAGCGUAACACUGCAGCAGAGGCCCCACCCUGCCAUAGGCAGCCCGGCCCGACAGCUGUCCACACAGCAUUCUGUGGUUGAAAAAUGGAUGUCUACCAGGAAAUCCAGGACAGGCCAUGUUUUCUCAGACCCCAACUUUGUGGGCACUCUGUUGCUUGUGUGAGAAACUUUCUGGCAUGUGGAUAAUUAUUUCAAACUACAGUUCAGGCACCGAUGCAACUGUUUCAUAGCGUGUGCAGAACACUCUUAGUUCCAACACGACACUUUGCUUCUGCACUCUGAAAACCUGCUAUCAGAAACCAUUUCUAUCCUUGGAGUGUGAGCUCUCAGUAGGAGGCUUCAUCACUGUGUUUGCAUAUCAGUCUUCUCCCCUCCACUCUGUUGCCAUGUUAUUCUGAGCAAGUCUUAUGCCAAAUGCCAUGUACAAUGUCUGUAUGGAAGAUUAAACUGCUCUCCUGUGUGGUAAGGCUGUUUAGUUGCCGACUUCAUAGUUGGGAUCUGAUAUUCCCACACCGAGUCCGCGAUGUAUCCGGAAAUCCAGGUUGGCGUCGUACAUUUCAUUCUGAUGUGAACUUUUCUCUGCUUUCCUUUGUUCUAAGACUCCAUUUUGCAAUAAACGUUUUGACAGUAAA